This is a long non-coding RNA of Stylophora pistillata, 387 nucleotides long. The record is from RefSeq and is a predicted model, not a curated record. NCBI's taxonomy places the organism in Eukaryota, Metazoa, Cnidaria, Anthozoa, Scleractinia, Pocilloporidae.
UAUCCCCCGAUAGUGAUAUCUUCAAUUGGAGCACGGCCAGUCACAUUAGCAGGGGGGUGGCGCCGCAGCGCUUCUUUAAUGACUUUUUCAAGUUCAACUUGGAUUUGAGGCUUCUUUGCCAGCUCAUAGAGGGUCCAGGCAAGAGCAACACUAGUUGUCUCGUGACCAGCCACCAUAAAGGUCACUUCAAUACCGGCUCCCAAUGAGAGAGAGUUAUUUCAUUCCAUUCAUCAUGAAAAUGGUGCAAUAACCUCAAUCUGCAAUUCAGUAUUGUCCAAUAAUUCAAGGAAUGUAAUUUCUGCACCUGACUCCUCAACUCCUCAUCGUCCAUGACUGAAUUUGUUUCCUGAUCAUACAUGUCCAUCAGAACAUCUAGAAGAUCUUUUU